Molecule: ribosomal RNA, 356 nt
Filed under: uncultured Legionella sp.
Lineage: Bacteria; Pseudomonadati; Pseudomonadota; Gammaproteobacteria; Legionellales; Legionellaceae
Description: bacterial SSU rRNA
Rfam family: Bacterial small subunit ribosomal RNA
Source: RNAcentral
GUUAGCUGGUCUGAGAGGAUGACCAGCCYCACUGGAACUGAGACACGGUCCMGACUCCUACGGGAGGCAGCAGUGGGGAAUAUUGGACAAUGGGGGCAACCCUGAUCCAGCAAUGCCGCGUGUGUGAAGAAGGCCUGAGGGUUGUAAAGCACUUUCAGUGGGGAGGAGGAUUGACNGGUUAAGAGCUAGUUAAUUGGACGUUACCCACAGAAGAAGCACCGGCUAACUCCGUGCCAGCAGCCGCGGUAAUACGGAGGGUGCAAGCGUUAAUCGGAAUUACUGGGCGUAAAGGGUGCGUAGGUGGUUAAUUAAGUUAUCUGUGAAAUCYCYGGGCUCAACCUGGGCAGGUCAGAUAA